RNAcentral lists this ribosomal RNA (460 nucleotides) under uncultured bacterium. RNAcentral describes it as "partial 16S ribosomal RNA". It matches the Rfam family "Bacterial small subunit ribosomal RNA", at positions 338 to 795 of the family's 1533-position model. The record is from RNAcentral.
CCUACGGGAGGCUGCAGUGAGGAAUAUUGGUCAAUGGACGAGAGUCUGAACCAGCCAAGUAGCGUGAAGGAUGACUGCCCUAUGGGUUGUAAACUUCUUUUAUAUGGGAAUAAAAUGUUCCACGUGUGGGAUUUUGUAUGUACCAUAUGAAUAAGGAUCGGCUAACUCCGUGCCAGCAGCCGCGGUAAUACGGAGGAUCCGAGCGUUAUCCGGAUUUAUUGGGUUUAAAGGGAGCGUAGGGGGAUUGUUAAGUCAGUUGUGAAAGUUUGCGGCUCAACCGUAAAAUUGCAGUUGAAACUGGCAGUCUUGAGUACAGUAGAGGUGGGCGGAAUUCGUGGUGUAGCGGUGAAAUGCUUAGAUAUCACGAAGAACUCCGAUUGCGAAGGCAGUUCACUGGACUGCAACUGACACUGAGGCUCGAAAGUGUGGGUAUCAAACAGGAUUAGAUACCCGAGUAGUC